This is a long non-coding RNA of Megalopta genalis, 539 nucleotides long. RefSeq lists it as uncharacterized. The record is from RefSeq and is a predicted model, not a curated record. Lineage: Eukaryota; Metazoa; Arthropoda; Insecta; Hymenoptera; Halictidae.
UUGCAAGACGCUGUGAACGUAUUUGCUGACAUCAUCGAAACGAUCAAUUUCAGAGUUUGUUUAACAAUUGCCGUCAUUAUGAAUGUACUUUCGUGAAAAAUGACCGAGUAAGGUAAUCUAGUAAAUUCUCCGGAAAAUCAGUAUACUAGGAUGGUGCCAUAUCAGUACCUUAAAUAUAAUACUUUGCCAUGAAUUCUAUCAAUUGGCCGAUGAAGAAACAGUGGUUAUUUAACGAGGUGAGAAUAUGUAGUUAUGCAACGAAGACAAUUAAGAGUGCGACGUGACGAUGAAAGGAGGAAAUCCAAGGUCUGCAAACAUCUAUCUUUUUAUUAAUAAGACAUGAUUUACAGAAAUACUAUGUAAUAGCUAUGUUACUCUCUAAUACACGAAGUAAUAGAUCAUCAACGACACGAAUGUCGAUAUAUCCGGCCUGAAUCCUAUAGGUGUAUUUCUAAUCUACGCAAUACACAGGUGUCUUAUAAAAAAUGGUAGUAUUGUAAUAAAAUAAUUACAUUAAAAAAGUCAAGUACAAUUUAAAA